GACGAACGCUGGCGGUGUGCUUAACACAUGCAAGUGGAGCGACGAACCAGAGCUUGCUCUGGGGCAGAGCCGCGAACGGGUGAGUAACACGUGGGUAACCUACCCUGAUGACUGGGACAACCCGAGGAAACUCGGGCUAAUACCGGAUGUGCUCUCCUCUCACGAGAGAGGCGAGUAAAGGAAGCUUCGGCCUCCGCAUCAGGAGGGGCCCGCGGCCCAUUAGUUUGUUGGUGGGGUAACGGCCUACCAAGACUGCGAUGGGUAGCUGGUCUGAGAGGACGAUCAGCCACACUGGGACUGAGACACGGCCCAGACUCCUACGGGAGGCAGCAGUGGGGAAUCUUGCGCAAUGCGCGACAGCGUGACGCAGCAACACCGCGUGGGGGAAGAAGGCCUUCGGGUUGUAAACCCCUUUCAGGAGGGACGAAGGCCGGCCGGUGAAUAGCCGUGCCGGUUGACGGUACCUCCACAAGAAGCCCCGGCUAACUACGUGCCAGCCGCCGCCGUAACAC
Molecule: ribosomal RNA, 512 nt
Filed under: uncultured bacterium
Lineage: Bacteria
Description: bacterial SSU rRNA
Rfam family: Bacterial small subunit ribosomal RNA
Source: RNAcentral